CUGCCUACGGGGGGCAGCAGUGGGGAAUAUUGCACAAUGGGCGAAAGCCUGAUGCAGCAACGCCGCGUGAACGAAGAAGGCUCUUGGGUCGUAAAGUUCUGUUCUGAGGGAAGAAGAAAGUGACGGUACCUCAGGAGAAGGCCCCGGCUAACUACGUGCCAGCAGCCGCGGUAAUACGGAGGAUGCGAGCGUUAUCCGGAUUUAUUGGGUUUAAAGGGCGCGCAGGCGGAAUGUCAAGUCAGCGGUAAAAUUUCGGGGCUCAACCCCGUCGUGCCGUUGAAACUGGCGUUCUUGAGUGAGCGAGA
Molecule: ribosomal RNA, 305 nt
Filed under: uncultured bacterium
Lineage: Bacteria
Description: bacterial SSU rRNA
Rfam family: Bacterial small subunit ribosomal RNA
Source: RNAcentral